Molecule: ribosomal RNA, 254 nt
Filed under: uncultured bacterium
Lineage: Bacteria
Description: partial 16S ribosomal RNA
Rfam family: Bacterial small subunit ribosomal RNA
Source: RNAcentral
CACGUAGGGGGCAAGCGUUGUCCGGAUUUAUUGGGCGUAAAGAGCUCGUAGGCGGUUCGGUAAGUCGGGUGUGAAACCUCCAGGCUCAACCUGGAGACGCCACCCGAUACUGCUGUGACUAGAGUCCGGUAGGGGAGCGUGGAAUUCCUGGUGUAGCGGUGAAAUGCGCAGAUAUCAGGAGGAACACCAGCGGCGAAGGCGGCGCUCUGGGCCGGAACUGACGCUGAGGAGCGAAAGCGUGGGUAGCAAACAGG